Molecule: ribosomal RNA, 252 nt
Filed under: uncultured bacterium
Lineage: Bacteria
Description: partial 16S ribosomal RNA
Rfam family: Bacterial small subunit ribosomal RNA
Source: RNAcentral
UACGUAGGGACCAAGCGUUGUUCGGAUUUACUGGGCGUAAAGGGCGCGUAGGCGGCGUGACAAGUCACUUGUGAAAUCUCUGAGCUUAACUCAGAACGGCCAAGUGAAACUGUUGUGCUAGAGUGCGGAAGGGGAAUCGGAAUUCUUGGUGUAGCGGUGAAAUGCGCAGAUAUCAGGAGGAACACCGGUGGCGAAGGCGGGUCUCUGGGCCGAUACUGACGCUGAGGAGCGAAAGCGUGGGGAGCGAACAGG